AAACCAGGCAAUCGCGGGCGAGCGCCGAAAGGCUCCGUCCGAGGAAAGUCCGGGCUUCACAGAGCGAGGAUAACGGCUAACGGCCGCCGGGGGCGACCCCAGGGAAAGUGCAACAGAAAAUGACCGCGAAUCGUCGGCGACGACGACGCAAGGAUGGAAAGGUGAGGUAAGAGCUCACCGGGGUGGCGGAGACGUCACCGCCGUGUAAACCCUAUCCGAAGCAACACCGCGGAGGGACAUGAUGCUUGCUCGGCAGUCCCGUGGAGGUGGCACCGAGCCGCUGCGGCAACGCGCGGCCAAGAUAGAUGAUUGCCUAAUACAGAACCCGGCUUAUAGAUUUACUCG
RNAcentral lists this RNase P RNA (345 nucleotides) under uncultured Ruminococcus sp. Its description in RNAcentral is "Bacterial RNase P class A". It matches the Rfam family "Bacterial RNase P class A". From Rfam's summary of the family: Ribonuclease P (RNase P) is a ubiquitous endoribonuclease, found in archaea, bacteria and eukarya as well as chloroplasts and mitochondria. The record is from RNAcentral. Lineage: Bacteria; Bacillati; Bacillota; Clostridia; Eubacteriales; Oscillospiraceae.